AAGUCGUAACAAGGUUUCCGUAGGUGAACCUGCGGAAGGAUCAUUAAAAAAAUGUCUUUGGUCACACGUAUAGAUUCGUCUGUACGUGGGGCCACUGUACACCUCUUUUGCCCGCAAGGGUAAUUGUGUCCACCCUUUGUGAAACUUCUAAUUUGCUUCGGCAGCGCUCUCAGUGGGUAAAACUGCUGGAGGGAUAAGGCUGUCAGAAGACCAUUUAUAAAACUAGUUUGAUGAAAUGUCAUGCAGUCUGAUAACACUAUUCUUUGAGAAAUCAAAUUAUAUUAAAACUUUCAGCAACGGAUCUCUUGGUUCUCGCAUCGAUGAAGAACGCAGCGAAACGCGAUAGGUAAUGUGAAUUGCAGAAUUCCGUGAAUCAUCGAAUCUUUGAACGCACAUUGCGCCUGCUGGUAUUCCGGUAGGCAUGCCUGUUUGAGCGUCAGCAAAAACCUCUCAGUAGUACUUUAUUGUAAUGCUGGUUAUGGGUGCAGAGGAAUGGUGUUUGUUCACCGCUCUCACUUUAAACUUGCUGCACGACCGCAAGCUAAUGCUAGGUUAAUGGAGUGGUAUUUAUAAUAUUUCAUCAACUGUGCAAUGGCUUAUGGCGUUAAAAUUGAUGUUGCCUAACCGCGACUGAAGUUUGACCUCAAAUCAGACAAGGAUACCCGCUGAACUUAAGCAUAUCAAUAAGCGGAGGAAAAGAAACCAACAGGGAUUGCCUCAGUAACGGCGAGUGAAGCGGCAAGAGCUCAGAUUUGAAAUCCGGUAUGCUUUGUGUACCCGAGUUGUAAUCUGGAGAGAGGACUUCGGUUUAGGCAUCGGUCAAAAUUCCUUGGAAUAGGAUGACAUAGAGGGUGAGAACCCCGUAUCUGGUUGACCGCCAACACCAUGUGAAGCUUCUUCGACGAGUCGAGUUGUUUGGGAAUGCAGCUCUAAAUGGGUGGUAAAUUCCAUCUAAAGCUAAAUAUCUGCGAGAGACCGAUAGCGCACAAGUAGAGUGAUCGAAAGAUGAAAAGCACUUUGAAAAGAGAGUUAAAAAGUACGUGAAAUUGUUGAAAGGGAAGCGCUUGCCAUCAGAAUUGAGGUUAGCCGAUCAACGUUCCUUCUGGUUCGUGCACUCGGUUGACAUUCGUGCCAGCACCAGUUGCAGCGGUAUGAUAAAGAUGGUGGGAAUGUGGCUCCCCUCGGGGAGUGUUAUAGCCCACUAUGUCAUGAUGCCAGCUGCGACUGAGGACCGCGCCCUAGGCAAGGGUGCUGGCUUAAUGGUUGUAAGCGGCC
This 1275-nucleotide ribosomal RNA is filed under the name uncultured fungus. RNAcentral's name for it is "eukaryotic LSU rRNA". The stretch from base 639 to 1275 matches the Rfam family "Eukaryotic large subunit ribosomal RNA", at positions 1 to 649 of the family's 3401-position model. The record is from RNAcentral. Lineage: Eukaryota; Fungi.